UACGAAGGUCCCAAGCGUUAUCCGGAUUUAUUGGGUUUAAAGGGUGCGUAGGCGGGCUAUUAAGUCAGUGGUGAAAUCUCCGAGCCUAACUCGGAAAUUGCCAUUGAUACUGAUGGUCUUGAGUACAUUUGAAGUGGGCGGAAUGUGUCAUGUAGCGGUGAAAUGCUUAGAUAUGACACAGAACACCGAUUGCGUAGGCAGCUCACUAAACUGUAACUGACGCUGAGGCACGAAAGCGUGGGGAGCAAACGGG
Molecule: ribosomal RNA, 253 nt
Filed under: uncultured bacterium
Lineage: Bacteria
Description: partial 16S ribosomal RNA
Rfam family: Bacterial small subunit ribosomal RNA
Source: RNAcentral